This 749-nucleotide ribosomal RNA is filed under the name uncultured marine group III euryarchaeote. RNAcentral's name for it is "bacterial SSU rRNA". It matches the Rfam family "Archaeal small subunit ribosomal RNA", at positions 1 to 756 of the family's 1478-position model. Lineage: Archaea; Methanobacteriati; Thermoplasmatota; Thermoplasmata; Candidatus Thermoprofundales. The record is from RNAcentral.
UUCCGGUUGAUCCUGCCGAAGGCUACUGCUAUUGGAGUUCGAUUAAGCCAUGCGAGUCUAAGGGACUUCGGUCCCUGGCAUAAUGCUCAGUAACAAGUGGAUAAUCUGCCCUUAGGUGAGGAAUAAACCCGGGAAACUGGGGCUAAUACCUCAUAGACACAAGAAGCUGGAAUGCUCCUGUGUUCAAAGCUCCGGCGCCUAAGGAUGAGUCUGCUUCCUAUCAGGUUGUAGUCAGGGUCAAGACCUGACUAGCCAGCGACGGGUACGGGGUGUGAGAGCACUUGCCCGGAGAUGGUUUCUGAGACACGAAACCAGGCCCUACGGGGCGCAGCAGGCGCGAAAACUUCGCAAUGCGGGAAACCGUGACGAGGGAACUCCAAGUGUCUAUGCAAUGCAUAGACUGUUUUUCAGCCUAAACAGCUGUUAGAGUAAGAGGUGGGCAAGACCGGUGCCAGCCGCCGCGGUAACACCGGCACCUCGAGUGGUAGCCACUAUUAUUGGGCCUAAAGCGUUCGUAGCCGGUUUGGUAAAUUCUUGGGUAAAUCGUACAGCUUAACUGUGCGGAUUCCGGGGACACUACCAGACUUGAGACCGGGAGAGAUCAGAGGUACUUGUAGGGGAGCGGUGAAAUGUUGUAAUCCUACAGGGACCACCAGUGGCGAAGGCGUCUGAUCAUAACGGCUUUGACGGUGAGGAACGAAACCCUGGGGCGCAAACGGGAUUAGAUACCCCGGUAGUCCAGGGCGUAA